CAAUAUUUCAUUGACGUAUGAAGUUAAUUAUCCUAAUUUAACUACAUAUGGUAGCCAACACACAUUGUGACAUAACCCAAACCCAUCCAUACACCUUAAACAGGUGUGUCAUAGGCCAACGGUCAAGACACUUCAAAGAAAAUCCCAGGUUUCAACACACCCACAACACCAAUGUCCUAUAUUACAGUAGCUAGGAAACUAGACCUUAGAAAAAAGCAUAAGGAGCGACAAAAUGGGUGCCAGCAGUCGCGGUUACACCCAUACUCCAAAUUAACUACAACCCACCACAGAUGGUGAACACCCAUUUGACUACCAAAUUAAUUUAAACCGUAAAAAGAUUUAUCUCCAGGUUAAACCCAAAUAAGUCAUACUACUCCAUUCUUACAAACCACAAAACAAAACUCGGAUUAGAUACCCGACUAUUGCGUGGCCCAACAGCAAAAAGAAUACUAAGAGCGAAAGCUUAAACCUCAAACAAUGUGGCGGUACUUUACUCCAUAUCAGGGGAUCCUGUAUCUUAAAUCGAUAAUCCACGAAUGAUCAAAGCUUCUCUAGUAAUCAGCUUGUGUAUGGCCGUUUAUGCUUGCUCAAAGAAGACCCAAAAGGGAGCAAAGAGAGGACAUCUCGACCAAUUCAGGUGACAUACAGCCAAUGAGAAGCUGACUUAUGGGAUACAAAUAAAUACAAUUACCAGAUUAGGCCUUAAAACUCCUAUGAAGGAGGACUUGAAAGUAAAUGGCACACACAUAGUGCAUUUGAAUAAGAACUAAAGUGCGCACAAAUCGCCCGUCACUCCUGCGGCUAAAGCGGGAUAAGUCGUAACACAGUGGGGGUAAUGGAAAUUGCCCCUAUUC
Molecule: ribosomal RNA, 854 nt
Filed under: Cumberlandia monodonta
Lineage: Eukaryota; Metazoa; Mollusca; Bivalvia; Unionida; Margaritiferidae
Description: 12S ribosomal RNA
Source: RNAcentral